GCCUAGUUAGCUUAGUUGGUAGUGCGUCUGCCUUGUAAGCGCUAGGCCCGCGGGUUCGAUUCCCGCCCGGGGCG
Molecule: transfer RNA, 74 nt
Filed under: Diaphorina citri (Asian citrus psyllid)
Lineage: Eukaryota; Metazoa; Arthropoda; Insecta; Hemiptera; Psyllidae
Rfam family: tRNA
About the family: Transfer RNA (tRNA) molecules are approximately 80 nucleotides in length. Their secondary structure includes four short double-helical elements and three loops (D, anti-codon, and T loops).
Source: Rfam by way of RNAcentral